RNAcentral lists this ribosomal RNA (253 nucleotides) under uncultured bacterium. Its description in RNAcentral is "partial 16S ribosomal RNA". It matches the Rfam family "Bacterial small subunit ribosomal RNA", at positions 524 to 776 of the family's 1533-position model. The record is from RNAcentral.
UACGUAGGGUGCGAGCGUUGUCCGGAAUUACUGGGCGUAAAGAGCUCGUAGGUGGUUUGUCGCGUUGUUCGUGAAAUCUCACGGCUUAACUGUGAGCGUGCGGGCGAUACGGGCAGACUUGAGUUCGGUAGGGGAGACUGGAAUUCCUGGUGUAGCGGUGAAAUGCGCAGAUAUCAGGAGGAACACCGGUGGCGAAGGCGGGUCUCUGGGCCGAUACUGACGCUGAGGAGCGAAAGCGUGGGGAGCGAACAGG